GGGUGGCUCUGUCAGUUGAGCAUCUGACUCUUGAUUUCACCUUGUGUCAUGACCUCAGGGUCAUGAGAUGGGGCCCCAUGUCAGGCUUACAGUCAAUGUGGGGUUUGCUUGUCCCUCUCCCUCCUUCUCUGCACCUUCUCUCUCUCUCUCUUUCUCUCUCUCUCCGGCUGCAGCUGAUGCAGCUUCCCUUCCAUCGGUUUUGAGAGCCACUCUGAGAGGCAUCUCGUUUCUCCUGAGCAUUUCGUUGGUUUCGCUGCACGUGCAGCUUUUGUUACCCUAUGGCGUCCGCCUCGGCCCCACCCGCGGCCCUGAGCGCCGAGCAAGCCAAGGUGGGACUGGCAGAG
Molecule: long non-coding RNA, 344 nt
Filed under: Mustela putorius furo (domestic ferret)
Lineage: Eukaryota; Metazoa; Chordata; Mammalia; Carnivora; Mustelidae
Description: lncRNA (ENSMPUG00000025487.1)
Source: RNAcentral